This is a non-coding RNA of Pelobates cultripes (western spadefoot toad), 1191 nucleotides long. NCBI's taxonomy places the organism in Eukaryota, Metazoa, Chordata, Amphibia, Anura, Pelobatidae. The record is from the annotation of a GenBank genome assembly.
GUGACACAUAGGUUAUGCAAACAAAUAAAAGGCACUGCUGUUGGUUGGAUAUCAAUCAUUUCAAACAUCACCAGUUUAAACAAACAGCAUUAUGAAGAACGAGAAGCUAUCAACAAAAGUUGGGAAUAAAGUUAUGGAGAAGCACCAAUCUAGGAUAGUUUUGUUUCUUUUUAAUAUCUUAAACUAUGAACAUCCCUAGUAAACCAUUAUUGUUAUUAUUUCAAACAGAAAGACUUUGGAGAAAAAACUAAAACAUUACAUUCUAUUUGGAGUUUGUCAAAUGAGUUUGGACAACACAACGAACAUGUGGAAAUGGUUCUAUACUUUAAUGAGGCCUAGAAUAAAAUUUUGGACCUUAUAACAAAACAAAACGUAUAGUGAGAAACUAAUACUGCUCGUUGCCCUGAGAUCACCAUUCCUUAAAUAAAGCAUUGGUAAGGUACUUCUGAUGUAGGGUGUGUUUUGUUGAAUAGGACUGGGAUAACUAGUCAAUAUUAAGAAAAAGAUGAAUUAAAAAAAAGGGUGCAAUCAUAGAGGAAAACCUAAUUCAGUCUGCAAGACACAACCUGUGGAAAGGCCUGAAAAUUGCUGUUUUCCGACAGUCCCAAACAAUAUGGCAGAGCUUGAGCAAUUUGUAAAGAAAUGUAUUUUUAGACAUUUGCAGGGUCACAAUGUUAAGCAUAAUGGGUGAGAACUUAUUCAAGUAGCAAAUGUCUAUUUUUUUAAAAUAAGUUUCGCAUCACAAUUAAAAAUAUAAAAUAUAUUUGGCACCUUCAUUUUGUUAAAUAUGGUGUGUAAAUCAAAAGAAUAUAUAUUAUAUUAUAUUUUUGCUCUCUGUGACUUUAGCAUAUUUGAAAACCAAUUUAACCUCAUGAAAUACACCACAAAUAGUUCCAAAUAAUGCAACUUAACUCACGCUUAACAUUGUUCAGUAUUGUCUGCUAACCUUUGGCAUUCUAAGUUUUGUGGUGAUCACUGCAUGUAUUUUCACCAUUGUGGAAGAGUCAAAUUAGCUAUCACCAAAUUAUAUGUAGGAGAGAGAUGCACAAUACAGCUUUCACCAAAUUCUUUGCCAAAUUUUUCUUACUUUUAUUUUUUACUCUGCAUCUUGUAGCAAUUUUUAACUCUGCCACUAAAACAGACCAAAAAGACAAUAAAAUAGCUACAAAAUCAAUUUAAAAAAAAUAUUUU